Molecule: long non-coding RNA, 759 nt
Organism: Dreissena polymorpha
Lineage: Eukaryota; Metazoa; Mollusca; Bivalvia; Myida; Dreissenidae
Exons: 2
Source: RefSeq, a predicted model, not a curated record
AUAAUGUUUAUUCGCUCAAGAAUAAACUGUCUUAUUCAACGCAAACGCUAUUUUCCUAAGGGAUCGCCGAAACCCAAACCCCAAUUUUAUAACCCAUCCUACCCAGUCUACUCUAACACAUAGACUCGUCCACUAAGUAUAAAAACAACUGCCCGUGCAAAUUGUCGCUCUUUUACUAGCUUGUCGCAUCACAGGGUAGGUCGCGCUAUGGUUUACAAGUUUACAUUUACCACCCACCCUCCCACUUAAUUUUUAUUGUAACACGAUGCUUGCUAGAUUUUUGUUAUAUUCCAGUGUUGUCGAGAAUUACGAGCUCCAUUAGAAACCCACAUCGUCAUGGCUGGGACUUAACAGCGUACGGCCCACCGUCAGUCUGUCCAAUGGUCUACUUAGUUCGACCCCCGACGACAGUUCCCUGCGUAAUUGACUGUGCCAGUGUUAGAGAAUUUGCAAUACUUUGAUCAGUUAACUUUUGUUAAUAUUGGUUGUUUUCGGGUACAGUUUUCCAGAGUUAUUUUACCUUCAGUGAAGUUUUAUCUCUAGUUUUUACUCUGGUCUUGAAAACACCAUUUUUGGAUAACGAAUAGAAGUGAUGUAUAGGCAUAGUUUCCACGAACACACUUCCCGCUUGUUACGGGGGAUAGACAUUAUGUACUUAAAUUUCCCGCCGUUCUCGGGGGAACCUGUAAAAUACAAUUGAUCCCAGCCUUGACGUUAUUAUGCCAAACCUUUAAGAUAAUAAAUUGCGUAGUUAAACUG